Small nuclear RNA from Zalophus californianus (California sea lion), 107 nucleotides. Lineage: Eukaryota; Metazoa; Chordata; Mammalia; Carnivora; Otariidae. The record is from Ensembl.
GUGCUCACUUCUGUAGGACAUAUACUAAAAUUGGAAUGAUACACAGAAGAUUAACUUUGCUCCUAUGCAAGGAUGACAUGCAAAUUCAUGAAGUGUUCCAUAUUUUU